RNAcentral lists this transfer RNA (76 nucleotides) under Rickettsiales bacterium. RNAcentral describes it as "tRNA-Lys". It matches the Rfam family "tRNA". Rfam says of the family: Transfer RNA (tRNA) molecules are approximately 80 nucleotides in length. The record is from RNAcentral. Lineage: Bacteria; Pseudomonadati; Pseudomonadota; Alphaproteobacteria; Rickettsiales.
GGGUUCGUAGCUCAGCUGGUAGAGCAGUUGACUCUUAAUCAAUUGGUCGGGGGUUCGAGUCCCCCCGGACCCACCA